AGUGAUGAAGGCCUUAGGGUUGUAAAACUCUUUCGGUGGGGACGUAAUGACGGUACCCGCAGAAGAAGCUCCGGGCUAACUUCGUGCCAGCAGCCGCGGUAAUACGAAGGGGGCUAGCGUUGUUCGGAAUUACUGGGCGUAAAGCGGUGCGCAGGCGGCUUUUCAAGUCAGUGGUGAAAGCCCGGAGCUCAACUCCGGAACUGCCAUUGAAACUGUUUAGCUAGAGUACGAGAGAGGUGAGUGGAAUUCCCAGUGUAGAGGUGAAAUUCGUAGAUAUUGGGAAGAACACCGGUGGCGAAGGCGGCUCACUGGCUCGUAACUGACGCUCAUGCACGACAGCGUGGGGAUCGAACAGGAUUAGAUACCCUGGUAGUCCACGCCGUAAACUAUGAACGCUAGCCGUUAGGCAGCUUGCUGCUUAGUGGCGCAGCCAACGCAUUAAGCGUUCCGCCUGGGGAGUACGGCCGCAAGGUUGAAACUCAAAGGAAUUGACGGGGGCCCGCACAAGCGGUGGAGCAUGUGGUUUAAUUCGACGCAACGCGCAGAGCCUUACCAGGGUUUGACAUCCUGUGCUCACUC
Molecule: ribosomal RNA, 579 nt
Filed under: uncultured Alphaproteobacteria bacterium
Lineage: Bacteria; Pseudomonadati; Pseudomonadota; Alphaproteobacteria
Description: bacterial SSU rRNA
Rfam family: Bacterial small subunit ribosomal RNA
Source: RNAcentral